CCUACGGGUGGCAGCAGUGGGGAAUAUUGCGCAAUGGGCGAAAGCCUGACGCAGCGACGCCGCGUGAGGGAUGAAGGUCUUCGGAUCGUAAACCUCUGUCAGCAGGGAAGCACGGUCACUGUGCUAAUCAGCAGUGAAUUGACGGUACCUGAAAAGGAAGCACCGGCUAACUCCGUCCCAGCAGCCGCGGUAAUACGGAGGGUGCGAGCGUUAAUCGGAAUUUAUGGGAGUAAAGCGCUCGUAGGAGGGAUGACAAGUCAAGGGGGAAAUCGCCGCGAUCAACGUGGGAACUGCCUUUGAAACUGAUGAUCUUGAGUGUGUGAGAGGAUUGUGGAAUUCCAGGUGUAGGAGUGAAAUCCAUAGAUAUCUGGAAGAACAUCGGUUGCGAAGGCGACUAUCUGGCACAUAACUGACGCUGAGGAACGAAAGCGUGGGUAGCGAACAGGAUUAGAUACCCGUGUAGUC
Molecule: ribosomal RNA, 465 nt
Filed under: uncultured bacterium
Lineage: Bacteria
Description: partial 16S ribosomal RNA
Rfam family: Bacterial small subunit ribosomal RNA
Source: RNAcentral